AGAACCAUAUUUGUAGGAAUAAGUCUCACCCACCGAUCCAUAAUCAACGGGAGCAGUUAUUUUCUCCUUAUCUUCUUCCACGCAUCUCUCUUCAAGAAAAUCUUCAUGAUUAUCCCUGGUUUCAUACCAAAACCGCUGCUUAUCAAACUGUUGACAAAACAUACGUAACUAUGAAUAGAUAUCUGUCAAGGUUAUGGAUGGUAGGUGUUGUGAACAUCCCAAGGUAUGAUGUGAACAUUCUGAGAUUUGAUGCGUAAAUUGGGUAGUUGAUGCUUUGAAGGUCUUGGAAGAACAUCUAUGUCUCUUCACCAUCACCAUUACAACCUUUUUCGAACAACUUUCAGGAAGAUAUGACUCUCCGUGUUCUUGUAACUUCGGGUAUAUCUCUCAAGGAGGAGUUCAUUAUUGAGAGAAGAUUAUGUAUUGGUUAAUUCAAUCCCUGAAGCCAAAGGAGGAGUUGUCUUCAAAUUGAAGGGCGAACCUUGCUAUUUCUUCUUGUAAGUACAUCACCUGCAGAGAAGACAAAUACGACUUGAUAUUUAAUUAUGAACGUACUAAAGAAGCUGGUAGUGACGCAGGUGAGCUCAAUGCCUUGGUAGAUGUUUGCAUUGCUUAAGAAUGGAAGAGAUAUUUUGGGCCCAGAAAUGCAGCGGAGUAAAUUGGUUAAAAUUUGGUAAUCUUAUAUUGCUACUCUGGCAAGAAGGCAAAAGAAUCAAAAGAAUAACAUUUCUGCUUUGAAAAGUAAUCAAGGGGGUUUCUGAGGAAAAACAAACUCAAGAUUUGAUUGCUCAUUAUUACUCAGUCCUUUACUCCUUUCCCAGUAAUGUGCAGCCUAUUGGUCCAGGUACUCUAAUUCCUUAGAUUAUGAGUGAACAAGACUAUGUGUACUGGUUUACUAGGCCUAUCACUGGUGCAGAAAAUUGGGAUAGUGUGCAAAGCAUUGGUCCAUUUAAGCCUGAUGGUAUACAAGGAAUGUUCUACAUCCACAAUUGGUCUGUCACUGGUCCUAUUUGUGGCAUGGUCAAGGAGCUUUCUACUACUGUAUAUCUCCAGCAUGAGCUAAAUAAAACAUUUAUCACUCUCAAGUCUUAUUCCUAUCAUGGAAGCAUUUUGGACCCAUUAGUCCGCGUAACUUAAACCACAAAAUAAUUUCUAAAAUUUUAUCCUCUUGACUAAAGCCUCUUUUACCUAAGUGCAGCCCAACAUCAGGAAAUCUGGCAGCUCAGGCAAUCAUCACCUUAGAAGUCUACACAAUUUUUUUUUGUUUUUGAUUUCUUAUGUGGUGAAACAAGAAGCAUGAUGCUUGGCAUGAUGAUGUAUGUAACCUACUUUUUAUCCAAUUUUCCUUUAUUUGCAAAUUUCAGUAUAAUACACACAUGAAAUGAAUGAAAUCUCAAUAUAAUACCCACUUUUCAUUGACUUUUUU
Long non-coding RNA from Papaver somniferum (opium poppy), 1426 nucleotides. RefSeq lists it as uncharacterized. The transcript is spliced from 2 exons. NCBI's taxonomy places the organism in Eukaryota, Viridiplantae, Streptophyta, Magnoliopsida, Ranunculales, Papaveraceae. The record is from RefSeq and is a predicted model, not a curated record.